UACUGAGCUUAAUACCUGGAUGAUAUGUACAACAAACCCCCGUGAUGUGUUUAUGUAACAAACCUUCACAGGUACCCCUAAACCUAAAAUAAAAAUGUUUUUAAUUGUGAUCAUGUUUUAGGACUGGAAGAGAAAAAUCUGUGAUAAUGUUUUUAUUAUUUAAAAGUGUGGUUUUUUCCUGAGUCUUACUUUGAAAAAUUAUAUGGAAUAGUUUGCAUGGCAUAUUCCUUGCAUCGUAGAACUUUCUCUGCUUCAGGCCAAAUUGAAAUAGAGACAGAAAACAAAGAGACCAAGAGAGGAUAUGGAGAAUAUCAACCAUUUGUUUCCUUUCCUGUAUUCAAAGACAAACAUCUUAGUUGUCUGGAUCUAUUGAAAUUAGUACUUGUUAAAGCUUUUAAAUGUUACUAGAAUACAUUGUUAAAGCCAUAUCUAAUUAAAUUUUUCUGAUUAAGCAUGAUUAAAUAAUUGUUUCAGCAAUUACACAGUUCAUGAUUAUGGUGUGUGAUGGGACGCUAUUUUCUUUUAAAUCUGUUAUUAAGUAAAAUAUGUAUUGGUGGCCAAGUAUAAGUUUUAGUGCGACUUGCUGUCUCUUGGAAAUUUUGCAUAUAUAGCUUAAAGACCAGUGGAGUAGAUUGGGAAGUUCUGUCAGCUUCAUAAUUUUGGAAAACAGAAACAAAAGAAAAAACAAUGCUGAUUAAACAUUCUUAGCCAUAAGAAGAUAUGUGAGUGUGGCUUAGCUAAUAAAUAAUACCUACUUUCUUACUAUGUAUCACUUAAUGACAUUUUUUGCUAUGAAAUAUAUAAUAGUUAUGCAUUUGCUAUUUUGCAGUUAUUUCACUGCCCUAUUAACAUCAAGGGUAACUGAUUGUUGUAUUAGUAGUUCCUGACAAAUAGAAAUUAUUUGAUAUUCUAUGCCAUUUCUGACAAGAUAUAAAGUUUUGACAAACACAUAUGGCACAGCAAGUGUCCAAUUCUAAAGAGCAAAAUAAAUGCAAACCACCAUUAUGGUGAACACAAACAGCCUGAAAGCAAGUUAUCAGUAAGCAAAUAAUUGUUGAACUGUUAUGAAUGGAAUAGGAUGUUGAAAUAGGGCAUGAUUGGCUGAUGUUACAUAUGUCCUUGAUUACCUUCCUUGUGCUUUUAUCCUAAUAAGUGACAUUCUUUGUAUUCCCUUGGAUGGCUAGACAGUCUGACACUGAAGAAGAAUAAAUAUUGCAUGUGGUACACAUUAAGCUGUCAUCCAAGACAGCAUUUAUAAAAAGUAACUGAGAAAUUCAUAAGAAAUUCUGCACUGCUCCAGUUUCCUGGCUCCAGUCAUAAUUGUCAAAGUUCUUGACACAUUCAGGUCUUCAGAAAUGAUUUAGGUUUACAGUGGUUUGGUGUAUGAAUAAUUAUUAUGGAUUUGAGUUCUCAUAUUGCCUUUGGAUGUUAAUGUUGGUUACCAAAAUGUUAUAUUUUAUGAUAAUUUUUAUUUUAAGAAAUGUCUCUAUAUUGAUAAUUGUGACAUAUCUUCCACCUUACAGACUUUCAUCAAAGGCUUUUAGACAAUUCAUGUAAUUGAAAGGAAGAACAGAAGUUUUUAAAUGUUUACAUUAUCUUUAAUCUGUUGGAAAAUAUUGCUUGCUUGUGUUUAGUGCUAGCAAACAAUUUUGAAAAUAAGUAUUUUUAUUUUUCUUCCCUAGCAACAUUGGAAAGCCUUCAAACAGUCUAAAUGAAUACCAUUUUAAAACUAUUUCCAAAAAAACCAAAUCACUGAUGUUUCAUUUUAAAAUAUUGUAUGCUUUUAUUCACAUACUUUUGUUAUUUUAACAUAGUUCUUUGAGGCAAGUGAGUAUUUUAUUUGCUGCAGUCACUAUUUUCUCUUAAAAUUUCCUUCCAUAGGAUGGUAGGUAGAAAUUAAGAUAUAAUAUUAUACUGCAAUAAGCAUACCUAAAGAAAGAGGUAAAUUAUGAAUGUAAAUUUAGAGAGCACAUUUUAAGCCCCUUUGUCUUUCUUUAAAACACCUCCCCUUUUUAAGCUAUCUAUAUGGUAUAUAAUGUCUGAAGGAUGCCCCCUCCAAAUUAUUUUUAUAUUUUUGUAAUCUGACACAAUUAUCUUAAACCAUUUGAAAUUAAGCAAUUAGUAGUCUCAUUCUAUAAUCAAAUCAAGAAUAUAGUAUAUUCUAUCAGCUGGUGAUUUCUAAAAUGUGAUUAAGUAUCAGAAUGAUUUAGGAUCCAAUACCAAUAUGAAAAUAAAAUAACAGCGUUAAGUUCCAAAUUCUGAGCCCCUGUUUUAGGGGAAUGAGUGGACAGUGAGGGUUUCUGUAACAACUGUAUUUUAUGUUGGUUUUAAUAUUUAUAAUAUUAAUUUGGGAAAAUGUUUAGGAUGCUGUCUUUGCUUCGAAAUCUAAACUAUCCAUUUAGAUUGAAGAAACUUUUCUCCAAGUAUAACACUACUCCAAUGUUACCUAUAGCUUUUAACUCUCUAGGCCACUACAGAGCACAAAAUAUUUGCCCAACUGGUAAAUUGAACCGUGAGUCCCACUGUGGGAAAUUGCUUUGCUGUGCUCCAAACAGCAGUUAUCUUAGUAAUUGUACCUGAAUUCUUUGUGGCUAAUAGAGCGUAGACGUCCAUUUUACAAACAGAAAAUUAUUUCUCUUAAAUACUUUUAAUUAUAAAGUCCCCAAAUAAAAUGUGAGCCAGUAGACAAUAGUGAGACAUUAAACCACAUCAUUUUUAAUUGUUAGUGCAGAAAAGUGAAAUUCUUUUUUCCUUUUAGUGUAAAACUGUACAUAUCCGACAUUUCACAUUCUAAACUGGAGCUCCCAACAAGGAGCUUAUCAGAGCAAAUUGUCUAGUCCAUCCCCUUCCUCACUCAAAACCUAAUGACCCUUUAUCAUCAUGGUUUAGAUUGCUGGACACAGAUGUGAGAAAAUACAAGUAAUCUCCAGGUAACUACAGUAGCUGCACUGAUGUUCUCAGAGAACUGACUGCUGGGAAGAUAAAGAGCUUCCCACAGAGUCUGUGACUUUCUGGCAGCAAGGCACAUCAUGAGCUCAUACAUGAAGUUUUAUUUGCUGAAGAUUCACAAUAAGAUGCAUUAGAACAUUCAGCAGGGACUCUUUUUAGAUGAGCACAGAAAUUCUGGAGGGUUAUUAGUUGAUGCACCAGUGCAUAGCGUCACACUAAAAUAAGAAUAAUUCUACAAUAAUCCUUUCCAUGUACACCAAAGAUUAUGACCACAAUGCGGCAUUAUUAUUGACUUCUUUUCUUGAUAUUUAUAUAAUCUACUAAACUCUAAUCACUUUCUCUUCACAAAUGGCUGAACUUCUUGCUGAAAACAGUUUGGUUAUGGUUUUUAAUAGGAAAGCAGAACAGCAGUUUCUCAAACUUUAAUACUAAAUUGCAUUUCAAAGGACUUGUUUGUGGCCAGGUGCUCUGCUUUUGUUAGCUGCUUAGAUUGUGAUCAGUGAGGUAAACUCAUUUAUCUGUUUGCAUGCAAUUGAGUAAUUUACCAUGAAAAGAAUGAGUGGUUUUUGGAUAAAGGUACUGCACCUGUAGCUUAAGUUUUAUAAUUGUUAGUUUGACUAUUAUUUGCAAUGAUCAUAGUUUCAUACUGCUUUAGAAAACAACAAUACAAAAUAUAUUUACUUAUUUAUAUAUGAGAUGUUUUGUUUUUAGUUAAUGAAUUUGGUUUAAGUUUACUAGAUUGGGGUGAAUCAAUAUGAAUUAUACUGUCUGAACUUCAGGUGUGUAUUUCUUUUUAAAAACCAUUUGCUUGUCGUAUUUUUAAAAAGCAAAUUAAUUUUGUUUCUAUAAAACACUGUAACUACUAGAUUAGGAAUAGUGAUAUUACUUUUGUAUGUCUUCAAAUGGUUUUUAGAAAUUAUUAUUUUAAUAGCUGAAAGAUAAAGAUAGUUUUCAACAACCAGUAUUGGUUAAGCAGUUGACAGCCAACCAAAAGAGAUACUGAGAUAUUUGAUUCAUUCUUAUAUGGUUGUGUGUCCUAUGCACCUAGCUUAAUUGUUGCUGUUUAUGGAAAAUAUUGAAACACUCAGAAAAUUAGAGAAGAUACUAGUUAAAUCUUUUUGGCUAGGUUCGUACUCAUUUUUGUUUCAAGAAUAUUAUAAUGUACUUUUAAAAACAGUCCUUUGCAAAUGGAGCGCCACAAUUAUAUCAAAUAUAUCUGCAAUCUUAAUAAUUAAUUUAAUAUUAAGCUUCUAGUAUAGAAUAGCCAGUGAGAAAAGUAAAGUUAUCAGCAAACAAAACAAACAGAUUAUCUAUAAGUACUGCUGAUCAUUAGAAUCCCUAUUAUUCUUCUGAUAGCAAUUAGGGUCACUCUUUUUGGAGAUUUUUCUGUCAGUUAAGAUUUUCAGUUUACCCUGAUAUAUUUGAAAUAUUCGUAGUUUCAUGGCAUAGAUAAAUCUAGAAAACAGAACACUGAAGAAUUGUUUGAGGUGGUGUUAUACAUUAAUUCUGUUUUUAGUUUCCUAUAAGAUCUAAAGAAAAAACUGUAUUUGUUUCCAUUUAGCAGCAAAUAGGAAACACAGAACUCAAAAUUCUACAAAGUACAUUUUCCUGCCAUCUUCAUAUUUAAAAGGAAAGAAACCAGAGGAGCAUGUGCAGCAUAAGAUUGUUUUGCAUUUUUGUUUUUACAUCACCAGAUUAAGUAUAAUGAAACCCAUCUGCAAAUUGUAGGAACUACUCAUUGAUUUUUGUCAAGGACCGUAGAGUGGUUUUUCCCUUCUUUUUCUUCUACUUUUUUUUUCUAUUUCAACAAGAUAUACAUAAAAUUAAAAACCUUGUCUGUUAUAAAGUUUUGUUUGAGCUUUUUAAACUGAGUGAUUAGCAGAAAUAAUGACCCUGUCAGCCUUAAUCACAUUAAAAUGUGGUUAACAUCAUUUAAUUUUUUCCACUUAAUAUGCAAAAAUUUCCAGUAGAUUUGCAGUGAAGGCCAUUGAAAUUCCAUUAGAACAAGAAUAAAAAUUUCAGGCAUCAUUUAUUCAGAGAAGGAAUAAGGUCUUGACUGAGAACUGCUGAAUCUUUCUAUUAGAGACACUAUGAAUCAUUACAUUGAAUUGUACCUAUGUUUCAAUAGACCUGUGUCUGGCUUUUCAAGUGGUUGAAAAUCAUGUGUUUUUAUCAUUUUUCAUAAGGAGAAAUAAGCCAGAAUUGCAUAAUUAUUUUAUAAAUAUUUAAAAGACUACUGAACAGUUUUUGUGCUGCUUCAACCUGCUUAAAUUUUAAGUAGAAAGUUGGUUGUACUCUGGAAACAGGAUAAUGAAAUAAUUAUUUUAAAACAUAGAAGAAACUGCAUAGCCAUCCCACAAAAUGGACAGAUUGUAUUUUAAGUGGUUAUGUUGGUAUAUGCCAAGAAAGAAAUUAAGAACCAAGUGACGCUAGCUCUUUCCCAAAGUUCAUAGCUUAUCAUUUGUCAAGCUUCAACUGGUAUGUUAUGCUGCAUUAGCUAUGUAUGAAUUACAACCAAAGAAUAUUCUACUCUUUCUAGUAUUUAUUCUUCUAUGAUCAUUUCGAUAUUUAAUUGUUGUAAUAUGUUCUUAGAAUUAAAAAGUAGGAAAAGCUUAAUGUUAUUUUAAGCAGUGUGUACCAUUUAUACCUUCUUUGGCAUGUGCACAUUUGCCAGCAUCCUGAAAACUUACAUUGUGUGGAAUGUUUUUCCCCCAUUUAAAAAAACAAAAGUGUUACUGUAUAUACCUGAUAAGCAGAAAUGGCUCUCUGGAACCAUUCUUAUCCUUCGGGUAAUUAAGUAAUUAUACAGUGUUGUGGGUUUUUUUUAAUUUGUAUUUUGUUACUGAACCAUUUGGACCCAUUAUACAAUUACACUGUGUGUACUUUGUAGUAAAAAUACCACUGGAAAAUUCAUCAGGGAAAGUAGUCUAUGCAUAUGCUAUUCACAAGGUAUAAAUUUCUCCCUCCUCCCAUUUCUAUGUCUGUGAAAAUCUCAGAAUAUUGUCUGCUUUACUCAUACCACUUCGCCACAUCAUGGUUGACUCUGUGCUUCCUCAGAAACACCUUGUCUGACUGCCUUGCCUAGAGUAAUCCCCCAGACUCCCUUUUGUUCUCCAUCAUAAGAUCAUGUUUAUUUCCUUCCGAGCACUUAUCACAAGCUGUAUAAUCUUGCUUACUUGUCUCUUGUUUUUGUUUUAUUUGUUUGUUUUCUUGUAAGAAUUUAAAUUCCAUGAGAAUAAGGACCAUGCAUGUUUUGUUCAUUUUGUAUCUCUAGUGCUUGGCACUGGACUCAGUAAAUAUUGUUGAUUGAUCAAAUAGCUGGCUGGAUGAAAUCCAUUGAAUUUAUCCCCUUUGUUCAACACUGACUUUUAGUCUUCAUUAAUGAAAUAUUUGGGUGACUUGAAGUCAGUCUAUUCUGGUUAGUUACAUCUAUGGUUUAGAGCACAGGUGCAUAGGCUGUGUAUGCCAGGGUUAGCACACACUGCCUGUAAUGGAACAGAAUAUUUUUGUCUAGGACUACACAGUCUCUGUUGUAGCUACUCAACUUUGCCAUUGUAAUGCAAAAGCAGCCAUAGACAAUAUGUAAACAGAUGGGCAUGUCAUUGUUGGAAUAGAAUUUUAUUUAUGGACACUGAAAUUUGAGUUUUUGUGUUGUUUUUUUUUUUUGAAAUUUGAGUUUUAUAUAAUUUCACUGUCACAAAAUAUUUUUCUUCUUUUGGUUUUUUAAGUCAUUUAAAAACAUAAAAAUCAUUCACUGCACAAAAAUGUGUGCAGUGAAUUGCUUAUCCCUCAGUCAUGUGAUUAGCCAAAUACACAUGAUACACAUGUACACAUGAUUAUAUAUCUUCAUUCAUCUCUUAAAGUAGUUCCUCUCUCUCCUGCAUCAUCAGUUCUUCCUCAUUCAGUGGAUGUUCCCCAGUAGCAUAUAAGCAUGAUGUUAUUUCUCUAAUCCUAGAACAACAACAUAUUGUGACUCUGCUUGCCUUUCACACUACUGCUCAUUUCUCUCCUUCCUUCUCGAAAGUGAUAUAUUACUCAUUGUCACUUGGGCCGCCAUGAAAAGCUCAGCAGUCUUCUUUGUACAAAUGAAGAAAAAAUAUCAUUUGAAAAGUAUAGCUCUCGAUUCACAAAUUGAGUUUUUGAAAAUAAAUAGGCAACUUGAUACAAUAGGAAGAUCAGGAACUUUGAAGUCAGGUGGGCUUGAAUCCUGCAGCUACCACUGUGACAAAUGAUACCAAAAAUCAUUAAGUAGUAAAUGAAUUUGCAUAUGUAAAAUGCCUGCCAGUUUCUCCUUUCCCUUUCAAAAACAUGUGGUUGUGUAGCAGCAUAUAUUUUAUUAUUACUCUGCAGAUUUCCCUUAUUUGACAGAAAGCUAGCCUGGAAAGUAGAUCAUGAUUAAUAAUUCUUCCUCAAAACAAUAUGACCUUCAUUUUGGGGUUGGAGUUCUUGACUAGAGAAAGAGCACUUUCAUUCUAUGUGCAUUUCUCUGUCUCUGUCUCUGUCUCUCUCAGAAUAAACCAAACUUAGAAACUUCAUGACCCUCUUCUGCUUGGCUUUUGGGUGACCGGCUUAUUAGCCUUUCAUUUAUAAUCUCUUCUCUACUGAGUUUUCUCUGUCUGCCAUGACUCUUCCCUAGGGAUUGGUAAUUGCGGGAUUCUGUUAACUUUCUUCACUUGCCUUCUGUGCUUAUGCCUCAGCUCUAACUUGUGUACCGUUGUUCUCAAACUUUAGAGUGCAUUAGAAUCAUCUGGAAGCUUUAUUAAACAGAUUGCAGGACCUCACCUUCAGAGUUUCUGAUUGAGAUGGGGCCUGACAAUUGUCCAGCAUGCUCCCAGGUGAUAUUGAUGUUCCUGAUACUUGGAUGAUACUUUGAAAAGCAUUGCUCUCUGCUAAUGAUUUAUAAAUCUAGCCUUCGUUUCUCCUCUUUGCCCUUUACAAGCUUCAUUAUUCCUGAUUGUCAACGAGAAAUCUUCAUUUGAAUAUUCUCUUAUCAUACUAAAUGUAAGAUUUAUAAAACUAAACUCCCUGUUUUUUUCUAUAGUAAUAUCCACAAUGAAAUCUACUUUCAGAUUUUCCUGUCUUUGUUAGCAUUGGCACCCUCUGAAUCAUUUAGACUUGGGCUCUUCAAAUCAUUUUAACAUAACCUCUUUUAUACAUUAUAUUCUGUUAAUCAAGUUUCAUGUUUUUUCUUCUAAAUCUCGCCUUUAUUUAUCUCUUCUUCAGUUACACUGUUUGUCAAGCAAGACUAAAAUUGCAUCACUUCAUUUUGGAGUUAGGUAACUGCCUCCUUACUGUCCUUGACUCUGUUGCUUCUUUUCCUCUGCAGGGCAUUCUGAUUAGCUUUGAACACUUCCACUCUGCCAUUUUUCUUCAUGUCACAAUCCUUCAUUGAAACAUAGAAGAUUAUCUUCACAAACCAGGAUAGGCAAAGAUCUCUUGGACGAGUCACAAAAAGCACUAACCAUAAAAGAAAAAAAAAAUGGACCUUGUUAUGUCAAAAAAAACUUCUGUUUAUCAAAAAUCACCAUUAAGAAAAUGAGUAGAUUAGCCACUAGCUGGAAAAAUGUGUCCACAGCACAAAUAUCUGACAAAGGACUUGUUUUCAGAAUACAUAUUUUAAAAAUUUCUACAGAUGAACAAUAUAAAUACCAGUGACCCAGCUUUUAAAAUGAGCAAUACUUGAACAUAUACUUUAUAAAAGAAGAUAAAUGAAUAAACAUAGAAAGGUACUCAGCAUCUUUAAGCCAUCACGGAAAGACAGAUUAUAAUCAUAGUUGAAUAUAAUUUCAUACUUACUAGAAUGGCUAAAAUAAAAAUAACACCACCAAAUGUGGACAAGGAAGGGGAACGACCAAAGGAACGUCAUGCAUUGUUGGUGGGAAUAUAAAGUGGCACAACUGCUUUGGAAAAUUGGCAUUUUCAUUUAAGUUAAGCAUAUAUUUACAUUGUGAUACAGUAAUUCCAAUUUUCAGCAUUUACUUAAAAGAAAUGGAAACAUGUUAAUGUCUUAUAGAUGCAUUUAUUACACAAAGUAGCAGGCUUAUUCAUGAUAGUUCAAAACUGGAAACAGCUCACAUGUCCAUCAAUAGGAAAAUGAAUAAGUUGUGGUCUAUUUAUGCUAUGGAAAUCAGGCACCUUACCAA
Sapajus apella (tufted capuchin) is the source of this 9092-nucleotide long non-coding RNA. RefSeq lists it as uncharacterized. The record is from RefSeq and is a predicted model, not a curated record. Lineage: Eukaryota; Metazoa; Chordata; Mammalia; Primates; Cebidae. The transcript has 2 exons.